AGCAGCGUGGCUCAGUGGAAAGAGCCUGGGCUUCGGAGUCGGAAGUCAUGGGUUCGACUCCCGGCUCUGCCA
Ornithorhynchus anatinus (platypus) is the source of this 72-nucleotide non-coding RNA. Lineage: Eukaryota; Metazoa; Chordata; Mammalia; Monotremata; Ornithorhynchidae. The record is from Rfam.